GUGUCAGCAGCCGCGGUAAAACCAGCACCUCAAGUGGUCAGGAGGAUUAUUGGGCCUAAAGCAUCCGUAGCCUGUUCUGUAAGUUUUCGGUUAAAUCCAUUAGCUCAACUAAUGGGCUGCCGAAAAUACUGUAGAACUAGGGAGUGGGAGAGGUAGACGGUAUUCGGUAGGAAGGGGUAAAAUCCUUUGAUCUAUUGAGGACCACCUGUGGCGAAGGCGGUCUACCAGAACACGUUCGACGGUGAGGGAUGAAAGCUGGGGGAGCAAACCGGAUUAGAUACCCGGGUAGUCCCAGCUGUAAACGAUGCAGACUCGGUGAUGCCCUGGCUUGUGGCCAGUGCAGUGCCGCAGGGAAGCCGUUAAGUUUGCCGCCUGGGAAGUACGUACGCAAGUAUGAAACUUAAAGGAAUUGGCGGGGGAGCACCACAAGGGGUGAAGCCUGCGGUUCAAUUGGAGUCAACGCCAGAAAUCUUACCCGAAGAGACAGCAGAAUGAAGGUCAAGCUGGAGACUUUACCAGACAAGCUGAGAAGUGGUGCAUGGCCGUCGCCAGCUCGUGCCGUGAGAUGUCCUGUUAAGUCAGGUAACGAGCGAGAUCCCUGCCUCUAGUUGCCACCAUUACUCUCAGGAGUAGUGGGGCGAAUUAGCGGGACCGCCGCAGUUAAUGCGGAGGAAGGAAGGGGCCACGGCAGGUCAGUAUGCCCUGAAACUUUGGGGCCACACGCGGGCUGCAAUGGUAGCGACAAUGGGUUCCGAAUCCGAAAGGAGGAGGCAAUCCUCAAACGCUACCACAGUUAUGAUUGAGGGCUGCAACUCGCCCUCAUGAAUAUGGAAUCCCUAGUAACUGCGUGUCAUUACCGCGCAGUGAAUACGUCCCUGCUCCUUGCACACACUGCCCGUC
This 900-nucleotide ribosomal RNA is filed under the name uncultured archaeon. RNAcentral describes it as "bacterial SSU rRNA". It matches the Rfam family "Archaeal small subunit ribosomal RNA", at positions 455 to 1354 of the family's 1478-position model. The record is from RNAcentral.